GGGUCAGUAGGUUGGUCGUGCCACCGGUACGUACUGGUCUCACUGAUUCCUCCUUCCUGAAGAACCGUAAUGCCAUUAAUUUGGUGUUGCGGGGAAACAGGACUAUUACUUUGAAAAAAUUAGAGUGUUAGAGCAAGCUAACGCUUGAAUACAUUAGCAUGGAAUAAUGAAAUAGGACGAUCGAUCCUAUUUUGUUGGUUUCUAGGAUUGACGUA
This 215-nucleotide ribosomal RNA is filed under the name Glomeromycotina sp. RNAcentral's name for it is "partial small subunit ribosomal RNA". Lineage: Eukaryota; Fungi; Glomeromycota. The record is from RNAcentral.